This 497-nucleotide ribosomal RNA is filed under the name uncultured bacterium. RNAcentral describes it as "partial 16S ribosomal RNA". It matches the Rfam family "Bacterial small subunit ribosomal RNA", at positions 28 to 507 of the family's 1533-position model. The record is from RNAcentral.
GACGAACGCUGGCGGCGUGCCUAAUACAUGCAAGUUGAGCGCUGAAGGUUGGUACUUGUACCAACUGGAUGAGCAGCGAACGGGUGAGUAACGCGUGGGGAAUCUGCCUUUGAGCGGGGGACAACAUUUGGAAACGAAUGCUAAUACCGCAUAAAAACUUUAAACACAAGUUUUAAGUUUGAAAGAUGCAAUUGCAUCACUCAAAGAUGAUCCCGCGUUGUAUUAGCUAGUUGGUGAGGUAAAGGCUCACCAAGGCGAUGAUACAUAGCCGACCUGAGAGGGUGAUCGGCCAGAAUGGGACUGAGACACGGCCCAAACUCCUACGGGAGGCAGCAGUAGGGAAUCUUCGGCAAUGGACGAAAGUCUGACCGAGCAACGCCGCGUGAGUGAAGAAUGUUUUCGGAUCGUAAAGCUCUGUUGGUAGAGAAGAACGUUGGUGAGAGUGGAAAGCUCAUCAAGUGACGGUAACUACCCAGAAAGGGACGGCUAACUACGUG